Molecule: ribosomal RNA, 265 nt
Filed under: uncultured bacterium
Lineage: Bacteria
Description: partial 16S ribosomal RNA
Rfam family: Bacterial small subunit ribosomal RNA
Source: RNAcentral
UACGGGGGGGGGCAAGCGUUGUUCGGAAUUACUGGGCGUAAAGGGCUCGUAGGCGGCCAACUAAGUCAGACGUGAAAUCCCUCGGCUUAACCGGGGAACUGCGUCUGAUACUGGAUGGCUUGAGUUUGGGAGAGGGAUGCGGAAUUCCCAGUGUAGAGGUGAAAUUCGUAGAUAUUGGGAAGAACACCAGUGGCGAAGGCGGCUCACUGGCCCGUAACUGACGCUGAGGUGCGAAAGCGUGGGGAGCAAACAGGAGUUAGAAACC